UACGUAGGGUGCAAGCGUUGUCCGGAAUUAUUGGGCGUAAAGAGCUUGUAGGCGGUUUGUCGCGUCUGCCGUGAAAUUUCGAGGCUCAACCUCGAACUUGCGGUGGGUACGGGCAGACUAGAGUGUGGUAGGGGAGACUGGAAUUCCUGGUGUAGCGGUGAAAUGCGCAGAUAUCAGGAGGAACACCGAUGGCGAAGGCAGGUCUCUGGGCAUUAACUGACGCUGAGGAGCGAAAGCAUGGGGAGCGAACAGG
RNAcentral lists this ribosomal RNA (253 nucleotides) under uncultured bacterium. RNAcentral describes it as "partial 16S ribosomal RNA". It matches the Rfam family "Bacterial small subunit ribosomal RNA", at positions 524 to 776 of the family's 1533-position model. The record is from RNAcentral.